RNAcentral lists this ribosomal RNA (491 nucleotides) under uncultured bacterium. RNAcentral's name for it is "partial 16S ribosomal RNA". It matches the Rfam family "Bacterial small subunit ribosomal RNA", at positions 28 to 507 of the family's 1533-position model. The record is from RNAcentral.
GAUGAAAGCUAGCUACAGGCUUAACACAUGCAAGUCGCGGGGCAGCAUUGGGGUUGCUUGCAACCCCUGAUGGCGACCGGCGCACGGGUGAGUAACGCGUAUCCCACCUGCCCUUCACCACGGGAUAACCCGGCGAAAGUCGGACUAAUACCGUAUGUUGUCCAUUGACGGCCUCCGAUUCGGACGAAAUGCCUGGCGGUCAAAGGAUGGGGAUGCGUUGGAUUAGCUUGACGGCGGGGUAACGGCCCACCGUGGCUACGCUCGGUAAGGCUUAUGAGAGGAAGGUCCCCCACACUGGAACUGAGACACGGUCCAGACUCCUACGGGAGGCAGCAGUGAGGAAUAUUGGUCAAUGGGCGUAAGACUGAACCAGCCAAGUAGCGUGCAGGAUGACGGCCCUAUGGGUUGUAAACUGCUUUUAUGCGGGGAUAAAGUGGCCCACGUGUGGGCUUUUGCAGGUACCGCAUGAAUAAGGACCGGCUAAUUCCGUG